AAUGAACGUUGGCGGCGUGGAUUAGGCAUGCAAGUCGAGCGAGAAGGUUUCUUUUGCUUGCAUUGGAAACCGGAAAGCGGCGCAAGGGAGAGUAACGCGUAGGGCACCUGCCCCCAGGCUCGGGAUAGCGGCGGGAAACUGCCGGUAAUACCGAAUAAUGUCCCCGGACCAAAGGUGUGAUUCCGCCUGGGGAUGGUCCUGCGUCCUAUUAGUUUGUUGGUGAGGUAAUGGCUCACCAAGACGAUGAUGGGUAGCGGGCGUGAGAGCGUGGCCCGUCUCACUGGGACUGAGACACUGCCCAGACACCUACGGGUGCUGCAGUCGAGAAUCUUCCGCAAUGGACGCAAGUCUGACGGAGCGACGCCGCGUGCGGGAUGAAGGCCUUCGGGUUGUAAACCGCUGUCAGUGGGUGGAAAUC
RNAcentral lists this ribosomal RNA (418 nucleotides) under uncultured bacterium. RNAcentral describes it as "bacterial SSU rRNA". It matches the Rfam family "Bacterial small subunit ribosomal RNA", at positions 29 to 451 of the family's 1533-position model. The record is from RNAcentral.